UACGUAGGGGGCGAGCGUUAUCCGGAGUUACUGGGCGUAAAGCGUCCGCAGGCGGUUCCUUAAGUUUGAACUGACAGUUCCUGGCUUAACCGGGGAAGUGGUUCGAAAACUGGGGAACUUGAGGGUCCGAGAGGAAGAUGGAAUUCCAGGUGAAGCGGUGAAAUGCGUAGAUAUCUGGAGGAACACCAAAGGCGAAGGCAGUCUUCUGGAGGAUACCUGACGCUCAGGGACGAAAGCUAGGGGAGCGAAC
Molecule: ribosomal RNA, 250 nt
Filed under: uncultured bacterium
Lineage: Bacteria
Description: partial 16S ribosomal RNA
Rfam family: Bacterial small subunit ribosomal RNA
Source: RNAcentral